Non-coding RNA from Trichomycterus rosablanca, 711 nucleotides. The record is from the annotation of a RefSeq genome assembly. Lineage: Eukaryota; Metazoa; Chordata; Actinopteri; Siluriformes; Trichomycteridae.
AUGUGUAAUAAGAGGUUUAGGUGGGUGGAGAGAGUCGUGAGUUUACAGCAGCAGGUUUUUGUACGAGCACUGAACCUGUUUGUAUCACUGUGGUGGACUUUCGGUGGAGGCACCAAACUAGAAGUUGGCACUGUUACCCCGCCCACCGUGGCCGUGUUGAAACCCUCUAGCACAGAGCCGCAGCAGGGGAAGGACACGCUGGUGUGUGUGGCCUACAAGGGAUUCCCCUCGGACUGGAGGCUAAGCUGGAAGGUGGACGGUCAGAGCUGGAGCUCGGGGGAAAGCAGCAGCACGGCUCUUCUCCACACUGAUGGUCUCUACACAUGGAGCAGCACAUUGAACCUCCAACCAGAUCAGUGGAGGAACAAAGUUCUGACCUGCGAAGCCUCCAAACCCAACCAGGCUCCUGUGGUCAGCACACUGACCCCAGAUCAGUGCUCAAACCUGUGAGCUCAUCUAGACGUCACUCAGCUUCUACUGCUUCUACUGCACAAGUGUAGCUUUCAUGUGGACUUUAUUACUGAUAUAUUCCAGUGUAACAUUUAUUCUGCAGUGUUUGUGUAGACAUUAUAUUUCAUUUUAAAUAAUCUGACACCUGUAAGCUCACACACUUCUCACAUUCACCAUGUCUUCUUAACGAUCAGCUCAACAUGAGGUACUGUCUACGUCUCUAAAAUCUUCUGCUUUGCAUCAUCAAUAAAAUCAUUUCAA